UACGUAGGGGGCAAGCGUUGUCCGGAAUCAUUGGGCGUAAAGAGCGUGUAGGCGGCCCGAUAAGUCCGCCGUGAAAGUCCAGGGCUCAACCCUGGAAUGCCGGUGGAAACUGUCGGGCUGGAGUCCGGAAGAGGCGAGUGGAAUUCCUGGUGUAGCGGUGAAAUGCGCGGAUAUCAGGAGGAACACCAAUGGCGAAGGCAGCUCGCUGGGACGGUACUGACGCUGAGACGCGAAAGCGUGGGGAGCAAACAGG
RNAcentral lists this ribosomal RNA (253 nucleotides) under uncultured bacterium. Its description in RNAcentral is "partial 16S ribosomal RNA". It matches the Rfam family "Bacterial small subunit ribosomal RNA", at positions 524 to 776 of the family's 1533-position model. The record is from RNAcentral.